UGGGCGUAAAGAGCUCGUAAGUGGUUUGUCGCGUUGUUCGUGAAAUCUCACGGCUUAACUGUGAGCGUGCGGGCGAUACGGGCAGACUUGAGUACUGCAGGGGAGACUGGAAUUCCUGGUGUAGCGGUGGAAUGCGCAGAUAUCAGGAGGAACACCGGUGGCGAAGGCGGGUCUCUGGGCAGUAACUGACGCUGAGGAGCGAAAGCGUGGGGAGCGAACAGGAUUAGAUACCCUGGUAGUCCACGCCGUAAACGGUGGGUACUAGGUGUGGGUUUCCUUCCUUGGGAUCCGUGCCGUAGCUAACGCAUUAAGUACCCCGCCUGGGGAGUACGGCCGCAAGGCUAAAACUCAAAGAAAUUGACGGGGGCCCGCACAAGCGGCGGAGCAUGUGGAUUAAUUCGAUGCAACGCGAAGAACCUUACCUGGGUUUGACAUGCACAGGACGCCGGUAGAGAUGUCGGUUCCCUUGUGGCCUGUGUGCAGGUGGUGCAUGGCUGUCGUCAGCUCGUGUCGUGAGAUGUUGGGUUAAGUCCCGCAACGAGCGCAACCCUUGUCUCAUGUUGCCAGCGGGUAAUGCCGGGGACUCGUGAGAGACUGCCGGGGUCAACUCGGAGGAAGGUGGGGAUGACGUCAAGUCAUCAUGCCCCUUAUGUCCAGGGCUUCACACAUGCUACAAUGGCCGGUACAAAGGGCUGCGAUGCCGCGAGGUUAAGCGAAUCCUUUUAAAGCCGGUCUCAGUUCGGAUCGGGGUCUGCAACUCGACCCCGUGAAGUCGGAGUCGCUAGUAAUCGCAGAUCAGCAACGCUGCG
RNAcentral lists this ribosomal RNA (809 nucleotides) under uncultured Mycobacterium sp. RNAcentral's name for it is "bacterial SSU rRNA". It matches the Rfam family "Bacterial small subunit ribosomal RNA", at positions 555 to 1361 of the family's 1533-position model. The record is from RNAcentral. Lineage: Bacteria; Bacillati; Actinomycetota; Actinomycetes; Mycobacteriales; Mycobacteriaceae.